Molecule: long non-coding RNA, 2170 nt
Filed under: Bemisia tabaci
Lineage: Eukaryota; Metazoa; Arthropoda; Insecta; Hemiptera; Aleyrodidae
Description: lncRNA ENSSWEETPG000232
Source: RNAcentral
AUGGAAAUUUCAAGUAGAGGUGUUGCUGAAGGCGCAGGGUGCGUUCAACGUGGGAACGGGCAUCACAGAGAGGCCAACGAGCACAACAGCGGAUUCACAAUCGGCACUCGAAGACUAUGCUGGCUCAAACAAGAUGCACUGGCGCAAAGGGUUUUCAUCACGACAGUGGAGAAAUCCGUAUUACUCCACCUGAUGGACUGUACAACGGCGCAGGAAAUGUGGAACAGGUUAAAGGAUACGUUUCAACAGAACAGGGAGCAGCUGAAGUGCAACCUGUGGCAGAGAUUCUACGGUUUCCGAUGGGAGAAAGGAAGCAGUGUUGGGGACCAACUGUGCAAAAUCAAGAAUCUUGCGUACGAGCUGAAACAAUUGGGCUGCGGGAUCAAGGACGAGAUGAUCAUCGCAAAGGAGCUGUCAUCACUUCCAGAGCAGUUCAAGUUCUUUGCAACGUCGUGGGAGUCAACGGCGGCCGUGGAUAGGACACUGACGAAUCUGAUGGCAAGGAUACUGGCGGAGGAAGAAAGAGCUGGUGGGGCCAAGCAGAUGAGGGAUAAGGAGAUUAUCCCGGCAACAGUGUUCUCAGCGAGCAAAGAAAAUUGUUGGAGGUGUGGUUCCAACCAACAUCUGAAAAGGGACUGUACAGAGAAGCGUCAAGACAACCCUGGUCAAGGACAGGAACAACAGGGCGGUUCCGGUCAUAGACGUGAGCAACAUGACAACCAAGGACGUGGGAAACGGCAGCGUUCGAAAUCCAAAGGAAAAAAGCAGAAAGCGGGCAACUACGCAGCUGGUAGUGCAAGCAGCAGCAGCAGCAGUAACACAGUAUGUUUCAUCGCCGACAGUAAUGUUUUUUCGUAGAUAUCACCUUAACAUUUAGAGGGGGUGUUGUGAUAUGGAGUCUGAGGCUCGGAUGACGUCAAUGGACGUGUAGCGUACCUAUGUUUAUGUUUAUGUUUCUCCUGCUAUCGAGACGAGCGCGAGCGGCCUCGAGUGCUGACGCACAUAGGCAACGGCAACGCCUAUGCAUACCUGGUUAUGUAUACACCUGUAGUCUUAUACGAUAAACUUCUUGUUCAGUUAUCCACUAACUAAGUCUGUGCUCUCUUCUACCCUAUUUCCCUUUUUGAACUUGCAAAAGCAUUAUUUUAGGGCACGGCCGCCAUCGUGGAUUUUGAGAUUUUGAAAAUCCGACCAAAAAUUCGAGAUCCCCGUUGAAAAAUACCCCCGCUUACCAAUUUCCACAAAUAUCCGUCGAUAAAUACUUCCUAAAACCUUAAAUUUCGUCUAUAAGGCAGUGACGUCACGCAACAGGAUUGAACCUGUUCGGCGCGAUGCGCGUAAACAACCGCGUAUCUCCAAUGUAAUACUAUAUGGAGAAACAACUUUUCGCUCUUGCGGGCAUCCUAGGCAGCGGAUUUGAAUGGGAAUAAUUUUAAUCAACUGCUCAUUACAGUAGCUAAGCGUGUACCAAUUUUAAAGGAAAUCGCUUCGGCCAAUUUUUCUCUAGAGGGGGCAGAGUGAGUGGGAACAGCAGCUUUAUACCGGGUGUCCGUAAAGUAACUGAAAGUGGGUAUAAUUUUUGAACAAAAAAAGAUAGAAGGUCGCGGUUUGUGGCAUUCUUCAUCAUUCAAAAAGGGAAAUUUUUCGAUGGGGGUUUUUUCUUGGUGGACCCCCCUAGGGGCCCCAGGGGGGGCAACUUUUAAAAUUCAAAUAGCAACCCCCAUUUUUUUAGACAUGGUUAGGCAGAACUUGAAAAGACAAGAAGAAUGGCUGAAAAAAAAAAUAAAAUCGGUUCAAUCGCUCAAAAGUUAUAGCUUGUCAAAAUUUUAAAUUGACCACUUUUCAAAAAAUCGCACUUGUCCUCCAAAUUAUCGAAAAAACAAAAACAAACCAGGAAUGAAAAGUUUGAAAAGUGCCCUUUAGGAAAAUGAAAAACGGCUGACCUUGUCACAAGUUCGGAUGGCAUUGUUUCAUAAUAAAAUUUCGGAAAAUUCAACGUGGCGGCAAAUUUGAGGAAACGCGAAAAAUGAAGAUUCCAGAAACUGUUAUCUUUCAAAUACCCUCUAGUUUAAGGAAAUCAAAGGUAUCACCUUUAAUUCCUUUAUUUGGCCAAGUAAGAGCAAUAAUUUGCUGACUUUAAAGUUGGCAAGCGGGGUGCCUUCAAUCGUUG